UUGACUCAGUACACAGUGGUAGGUGAUGGGAACAAUGGAAGACGGUAUCAGGGGGACUGGGAGAGAAUUUCAAAGCCUCUAGCAGCUGAAAUACACAGAACAAAAGAGGAGAAUGGGACUGUGUGCUUUACCAAGCGAGACAUGCAUUUUAUUCGCAGGUUAUGCAUAAUAAGCAUGGUUGCAGGGGAGAAGGGCAUUUCCUCACCGACAAUAUGGCAGCAAUAAUAGUCACAUGGAGGACAGCUCCUGGUGACCGACCCCAGUGCAGUCUCAUGGCAACAUGGUGAAGAGUGUUUUAUCAUCGCUGUAAGCGUGGGUUGUAGCAGGCACCCGUAGAUCGGCAUUUUCCAUGGCUGAAUGUCAUCCUCUGGAAGGUGCCCUAACCUGUGAGUCAAUGAGCCUUGCGAAUGCCAUUGCAACGUGAUCAGCGUCACUCUCAUUUGUGAGCAGUAGGAAUAAGAGGGCUGGGUUCUUUACAAACGUAUGAGUGUCACUCUUAUUCAAGCUGUCUCUUGGGGAACCUUGCCAAGAGAGUUAACUGAGUGCAAAACCCCAGGCGGUGAAAGACUUGGCAUCUCUCAGGACACCAGACUCACAAACCUCACAGCUUACGAGAGUGAAGGUGAUUAACCCAUGGAACAAGCUACCUAUGGAAGUGGUGGAUUUUCCAUCUCUUGGCAUCUUCAGAUCAAGACUGGGUGCCUUUCUGGAAGAUGAGUGAUAUUUCUCCCUGUUAAAGCGACUCUGGAUAUGACGGGGAGGAAACAAUACUCACACUACAGUAAAUCUUGGCUGGAGUAAUGGCCACAAAGCCACUUUCCAGGCAGAUGCUCCCAAUGCCUCAGGAGGAAGUAACUGCUCAUUUCUGGCUGCGCUAAAUCAGUGCCACCCAGCCAUGGUGAGCAUGGAUCAUUGGCAGGCCCAGCAGCAGCCAACGGCUUAUGGGAAGAGCAGAGUUCGAUUCAGGACAACGUGGGAACGAGGCAGCAGACUAGCAAUCCUCCUACAGAACCCUUUGAAAGCAGUCAUCUCUCUCUUCACCUCCCCCCAGACGCCCACUCCCAAGAACUCAGUCUGCUCAUGUCCCUAGUGAGUAGUGUCAGCUCAUUCAUUGUUCAGAAUGAAUUAGCAGCCAGAGGGAGUUGUGCCCUGUGUGAUUCUAGCGGCGUCUUUGUAAGCAAACACUUUUUACCUGUUAGUCAUGGGGAAAUCCCAGACAGGGCUGGUGUUCUCCUCCCAUGGGCCCUGGCUGUUCUUCCCCUGGUUUGGGGUUGGUAAACACAAGAUGGAUUCAUUCCCCAGAUCAGUUUAAUGGGUCAAUGUCUACUUUUCUACAUUUUGCCUCUCAGCAUGCUGGGAAUACUCCAAAUAUAUUGCAAGGGAAAUAAACUAUUGAUUGAAAAGGGAGGAAAGGGGAAAUCCGCUAGCGAUUCUAAUAGUAAGAGCAAUCCUUAAUAAUCGUCAUAAUUUGUAGACAGCAACAGCCUCAGACCAUUCCAAAGUGGACACAGAAUUUUAAAAAAAUAGAUUGUAGAAACUGGAUCUUUUGCCCUCCUUAAGAUGGACUCACACUGCUGAAAUUUACUAAUGAUAUCAAUGAUGGUUAUUAUUAAGUCAAAUUUUCAAUAUGUGUCUCAUUGACUUUCAAUGGGAUUUAAGAGCUUAAGUCCCUUAGGUGCUUUUGAAACUUUAGCCCAUUAUUUGUGUUAUGGUAUGUGACAAAGCUUUGUCCUUGUCUCCGUGGGGCCCGCGUUUCCUGGUGGAUUUCGCUAGCCUCAGAGGCUCACUGUGACCCUCCACGUAGCCCUUCUCUCUCUAGAGACAAGGGUCACAGCCUACUGAGCCAUUUUCAUCAGAAGCCAGCGAGGGAGGUGAGGAGAAGCUAUCCUCCCUUGCACAGUCUCUGUUGUCUCCUAGUCUCAGUGAUUAAUCAGGGGGGCAAAGGGGAGAGCCCGGCCCCACCCUCUACUCUGGGCUCCAGCCCAAGGACCCUAAUAGUAUCAGCAAUGGUGGCUGACUUUUUAGAAACAGGACAUGUACAAUUCCCUGGGCUACUUCCCCACAGCAGCCCCCACUUCCUCAAGAUCCACUUCACCCUUACCACAGGGCCUCCUUCCUUGUGUCUGAUAUGGUGUGCACUGCUCUGUCUCUCCAACAGCACAACUUCCUCCUACAGCUCCUGACAUGCGCACCUACCUGACUAACUGGGAGGCUUUUAACUAGUUUCAGCCAGCCCCUGAUUGGCUUCAGGUGUCCCAAUCAACCUAGCUGUCCUCCCUGCCUUCUGGAAAGAUCUUAAUUGGCCCAGGUGUCUUAAUUUGGACCAGGAGCAGCUGCCAUUUGCUUAUUUUGGUAGCAGAGAUUUGUUUAGCCUGUGGCUAAUAUAUCUGUCUCCCAUUACUUCACUAUAGCCAUCUGGCCUUGUCCUGUCACAGGUAACACUUAAAUAAUAAUAGUAAUUAGUAUUACGAAUACUUUUUGGAAAAAUGGUCUGUCAGUGGCACAGUGGGACCUGUUGAAUUCUGGACACAUUUGAAAAUGUGAUUCGCCCAAGGUCACAUGGGGAGGCUGAGGCAGAGGCAGAAUAAGCUGAACCCAGAUUGGCUGAGUCUCAGCCCAGUGUCUUCAUGACACCAUCAUGCUUCCUCUUCGCUAUUGAGACAAAAGGUACCGAUUUCCUGGUUAUUACAGUGUCGUCAUUCAUCCUUCCAUCUCUCUACUUUGCAUUUCCCAAUAUCUGCAGCAUAUUCUAUUUGUCUCCUUGUGGUAACUUUGCUGUCCACUUCUUUUGUGCAUUCUGUAUUUCCCCUGCCUCUUCCUAACUGGCAUCUAUUCAGUUUUCUCUUCCAAACAUUGACUUCUUAAUUAGGACAGUGACUGCGCCCAGGGCAAGUGGCUGGCUGCAGAGCACAGAGAGUUCAAAGGAUUCCACGUGGCUAUCUCAUCAAUUAGCUGUUCAAAGAUUUUUCUCCAGUCAGACACUUGUAAAAAACAUUUUUGUGUUUAAUUCCUUUUUUCAUGACAGAGUUGUAAAUGACAGUGGGGGAAAGGGAAGCUGAGAGGCUAUAUUUAAAGUGAAGACAUAAAGGAUCUAAAUUCAACAGAUCUGCUCCUGAUCUCGUUCACACUGGGCUGUAAUUUGAUUGACUCGAAUGAAACCUGGCCCAUAGGGAGAUCAGAAUCUGAUCCAGUGCUCCGAAUAGGUGCAGCAUUUAGAAUGUGAUAGCAAAAAGUGUCACCAGGUGUCUUCGUAGGAAACACCUUAAUGUAGUCCAGCGGGCAGUCAUUGCAGUGCAAGGGAUGGGUCAACCAGUAUAGAGAAGAGGGUUAAGGCUCUGGAAUGGGACUCAGAAGAAUGGGGUUCAAUUUCUGGCUCUGACACAGACUCCCUGUGUGAUUCUGGGCAAAUCACUUAAUCUUUCUGUGUCUCAGCUUCCUAUUGGUCAAAUGGGGAUAAUGAUACUCUCUUGGGGUAUAACUUCACUGCCGAGUUAACUCAAGUUACUCCUCUUGAGUUAGCCUAGCUUGAGUGGGAGCAGCCACGCUAUGAAAUAACAUGCAGGCAGCAGUGCCCAUGCUGGUGUUGCUCUCCCUCAUGAGGUGCUAGGACGUCUACGGGCACGUCCCACUGUUCUGUGUGCACUACACUAAGUUGAGCUUCUUUCCCAGUGAAUUGUGGGAGAACUUCUCUCUCCUUUUGGGGCACACACAAAAGGGAAUUGUGGGAAGGCCCUGGAGGACUAGCAGCUAGGGUGACUGGAGAGCAAGGAUAAUAAAUAGGGACAGGGGCUGGAGGGUAAUAGGAACCUAUAUAAGACAAAGCCCCAAAUAUCGGGACUGUCCCUAUAAAAUCGGGACAUCUAGUUACCCUACUAGCAGCACCGACAUGACAUUAGCCUACAUCUGCGCUAUUCAAUGGUCAUGCUAGCAGCUGAGGAGUUGUGCUCACUUGAGCUGGGGCCUAUAUCCCUGAUGGGUCAGCCAACAUGAGACAAAAGCACCGCCAUGCCAGAGUUCAGGGUUUUUGUAUGUGUAUGGGACUCGAGUUAGGGGUAACGUUCUGGAGGACGUGGGGAGGAUGUUUGUGUUUCUUAUGCUAAGCCCAUACAGUUUCCCUGCCCUGAUGACAGAGCAAGACUCAUCCUCCCCUACCCAGGUGCGAGGGAGAAGAAGAGAUCAGAGAGGCUUGUACUGCCAGCCAAGCAUUUAGAUUAGCCUGAGUUGCCUGCGUUAAAUCCCCCAGCAGGGCCUGCAGCUAUACAGCCUGCAGAAGGUGUCUCCAUGAGAUAAAGACCCUGUUAGUGCUUUCUCUCACUGAUGGCAGUGAAGUCUCAUGCCAGGUUCCCCAGCUCUCAUUCCCAUGGAGAUGGGAAAGUUACUGUUCCAAUGUCAUUGUGCCAUGCUUCAUGACAGGACGGCUUCGGCAGUUGACCAAGUUUUGGGUUACAGCGACGAAAUCUAAGGAGCAGAAUACUGCCUGCAUUUCAAUAAUUGCAGAGGGAGAAAGCCAACUGCUCUGGGAUGUUUAUUUGUGUGUCUAAGAGUAUGUGUUUGUCAGUGUGUGCGUCUGAGUGUUCAUGACAUGUCAGUGUGUACGUCUAUCCCUGUAACAGAGAGAUUGUGUAAGUGUGUGUGUGGGGGGGGAGUAUGACAGUCAAUGUGUGACUCAUGUGUUUGUGCCUGUCCAUGUUAGAGGGUAUCUGUGAGUCUUUGUGUGAAUACGUGUGUGUGUGUCUCUUUAUGACAGUGCAAGUCAGCGUGUGUGUGUCCAAGUCUCUGAGGGUGUAUGGCUCUGGAUGGGAGAGCAUACAUGUGUCUCAGUGUCUGAGUCUAUGCGUGUGUGCAUGUCUGUGUCUGAGUACGUGGAUGAAUCAUUGUGUCCCUGUCUGAUGUAUGUGUGUGUUUCCGUGUCCAAGCGGGUAUGUGUUAAUAUCUGUGUGUGGAUCCAGGUGGACGGGUUUGUCUCUGUCUGGAAGAGUGUGUGUGUGUUGAUAUAUUGUAUAUGUAUGUCUGAGUGUAUCCGAGUAUACACUGUCUUGGGCAAAAUACUUCAAGUACUGAGGGUUAAAUACCAAUGUACUCUUCCUCUCCACCCUGGGUGAUAGAUUUCAGAGUAGCAGCCGUGUUAGUCUGUAUCUGCAAAACGAACAGGAGGACUUGUGGCACCUUAGAGACUAACAAAUUUAUUUGAGCAUAAGCUUUCGUGAGCUACAGCUCACUGCAUCAGAUGCAUUCACGCUGGGUGAAUGCCUGAUGAAUUGUACCUGCUGCUGGACCUCCGACAGAGAUCUCAGUUUACUGGCUUUUUUAUACUUUGGCAACACUUGUAUAGCUUGUCAUGCCAAUAAAAUCUUAUUGAACUGAAUUGAAUUGUAUCUCUGGGUCUGAUACUCAGUGUAGCUGUAUCUAUGUCUGUGCUUCUGUGCACUUGUCUUGAUCUAAGUGCAUCUAUAGUGUGUGUGUGUGUAUGUAUCAGGGUGGAUAAAAAUCAAUGAUUUUUUAAAAAAAAUUAAAAAAUCCAAUUUUUUUAUUUAAAUUGGAUUUUUUUGAUAAAAUGCUUUUUGAGGAAAAAACCUAUCUAAAGAUAGUUUUAAUUAAUAUAUAUUAUAGCUCAAAGAUAUCUCAUCAUGGAAUAGGGAUUAUAAAUUCUAAUUCUAUAGUAUGAGACAAUAUAUUCAUGUAAUGUGUAAGAAAAGUUUUGUAAAUGAGUUCCAAUAGUUCAUGGAUUAGGGACCCAAUUUUAUGGGGUUCCAGGGGCUUCCGUAUAGAUUAUUUAGGUUAAUCUUUCUGUCUACCCAGUAGGACUCAGUGUUCAGUCUAGAAGAUACCAUCAGAGAUGCUUGGUUUUACAUUUCUCAAACUGUGGAUUUGUGUCUCCAGAGAUAACAUGCUUGUUAACAGCAAAAAUGGUUUAAAAUAAAUAAAUAAAUAAUAUAUAGAGGUGAGAAAUAACAGACCUCAACCCUAUUGUCCCUCUGCAAAUUUGUAUACACAGCGUCAAUCCCUUCUCUCUCUAAAAGUGCAAAGUUUCAAAAGGUUCAAUGAAUAGAAGAUUGUUGGGGGUGGAACAGAUCUGGACAAGGAGAAGAAGUCUGGAGACAAAUGUGAGAAGGGAGGGACAGGCAGCAGAAACAAAAGUGAAACUGUUUGAGCAGCAUAUUCCAGAAGUCUUGAGGUCUUUCUGAGUGUAGCCUUCAUUGAUUUGAAAUCUACCAUACCAUUCUCUCACUAGAAGGGAAAACCUGUAAUGGCAGCAGGCCAUAAAAGAGACCCAGUUUGGGAAUAAGAACCAUUCAAGAAAUAUGUGUUUGCAGAUGAUGUUUUAAAGAAAGUCACACCAAUGAACUGGUGGAAGUCACUUAAGCACUUGGAUUCAGAGACUGUUGAGAUGAUAAUCUCACUUUUAACAGCAGUAGCUUCUUCUGCCGGUGUAGAAAGAAUAUUUUCCUCCUUUGGACUAAUUCAUUCCAAAUUGAGAAAUCUUUUGGGACCUGAAAAAGCAGGAAAGCUUGUUUUUCUUUUCCAGAUUAAGAACAAACAGGAAAAUGAAGGUGAAGACGACUGAAUUAGCUGCAGAAACCAAUAUUUUAAGUUUCUCGGGUUGACCUGGCUGACCUAGUCGAUUUAAUUUUUGUUUUUUUUUAAAAAAAUUUCAUUUAACUAUUUUAGUUAAAAACAAUUUUAACAAAAACAAACCUGAUUUAAAAAACGUGAAUGUUUAACUAAAUUCAAAAAUUCAUAUGCUUGUUUUGUUAAAAUAUUAUGUUUGCUGUUGAACAAAAAAAUCCAGAAUACAUAACGGUGUUGUUUUAAUUAAAUAAAACAAUUUAAAUGUCUGUCUGGUUAUGUUCUCCUCCGAAUACAGCAUGGCAAGCAAUCCUCCAAAUAUUAAUGAUUAACUCGUUGAAUUGGAGAUAGUUCACCUCCCAAUGACUUCAUAAAUAUCUGCUUCAAUUACCUUUGGUAAAUGAAAUAACCAAACAAUCAUUCAUUUUCUGAUA
Caretta caretta (loggerhead turtle) is the source of this 7001-nucleotide long non-coding RNA. RefSeq lists it as uncharacterized. The record is from RefSeq and is a predicted model, not a curated record. NCBI's taxonomy places the organism in Eukaryota, Metazoa, Chordata, Testudines, Cheloniidae.